Molecule: ribosomal RNA, 215 nt
Filed under: Alexandrium margalefii
Lineage: Eukaryota; Dinophyceae; Gonyaulacales; Pyrocystaceae
Description: partial Bacterial small subunit ribosomal RNA
Rfam family: Bacterial small subunit ribosomal RNA
Source: RNAcentral
GGAUUAGGUAGUUGGUGAGGUAAAGGCUCACCAAGGCGACGAUCUUUAGCUGGUCUGAGAGGAUGAUCAGCCACAUCGGGACUGAGACACGGCCCGAACUCCUACGGGAGGCAGCAGUGGGGAAUAUUGGACAAUGGGGGCAACCCUGAUCCAGCCAUGCCGCGUGUGUGAAGAAGGCUUUCGGGUUGUAAAGCACUUUCAGUGAGGAGGAAAAC